GAGCGCAACCCUUAUCUUUAGUUGCCAGCAUUCAGUUGGGCACUCUAGAGAGACUGCCGUCGACAAGACGGAGGAAGGCGGGGAUGACGUCAAAUCAUCAUGCCCCUUAUGACCUGGGCUACACACGUGCUACAAUGGUUGGUACAACGGGAUGCUACCUCGCGAGAGGACGCCAAUCUCUUAAAACCAAUCUCAGUUCGGAUUGUAGGCUGCAACUCGCCUACAUGAAGUCGGAAUCGCUAGUAAUCGCGGAUCAGCAUGCCGCGGUGAAUACGUUCCCGGGCCUUGUACACACCGCCCGUCACACCACGGGAGUUUGCAACACCCGAAGUCGGUGAGGUAACCGCAAGGAGCCAGCCGCCGAAGGUGGGGUAGAUGACUGGGGUGAAGUCGUAACAAGGUAUCCGUACCGGAAGGUGCGGAUGGAUCACCUCCUUUCUAUGGAGA
Molecule: ribosomal RNA, 447 nt
Filed under: Brevibacillus brevis
Lineage: Bacteria; Bacillati; Bacillota; Bacilli; Caryophanales; Paenibacillaceae
Description: bacterial SSU rRNA
Rfam family: Bacterial small subunit ribosomal RNA
Source: RNAcentral